GUAGCAGCCAAUAAGGAAGGUAAUUUUCUCCUGAAGCAAAAGAUCUUGAGGCCUUUCUAUAAGUACACACUCAGGAAACAGACUCCAGCAUCAUCACCAGCAUUAACUAAAACAGGAUGCUUCUCAGUAAUGGCUUGUUCUGGAAGGAUUUUUAAGAAAGGGGCCAGACCAAGGUAGACCUACAUUUGAAAAAGCAUUCCUAAUGGCUCUGUGGAUGAUGGAUUACCUGGUGACAAGCCUGCAAGCAGGGAGGCAAAGAAGAAGGUUCUGAGAACAACCAGCCUGCUCUGUAGGUCUGUUAAAUUCUAUCUGUAGGGACUUCCCUGGUGGUGCAAUGGUUAAGAAUCUGCUCACCAAUGCAGGGGACACGGGUUCGAUCCAUGGUCCAGGAAGAUCCCACAUACUGCGGAGCAACUAAGCCCGUGCCCCACAACUACUGAGCCUGUGCUCUAGAGCCCACGAGCCACAACUACUGAAGCCUGCAGCUAGAGUCGUGCUCCGCAACAAGAGAAGCCCACACACAGCAAU
Globicephala melas (long-finned pilot whale) is the source of this 528-nucleotide long non-coding RNA. RefSeq lists it as uncharacterized. The record is from RefSeq and is a predicted model, not a curated record. Lineage: Eukaryota; Metazoa; Chordata; Mammalia; Artiodactyla; Delphinidae.